RNAcentral lists this ribosomal RNA (625 nucleotides) under uncultured Actinomycetes bacterium. RNAcentral's name for it is "bacterial SSU rRNA". It matches the Rfam family "Bacterial small subunit ribosomal RNA", at positions 798 to 1425 of the family's 1533-position model. The record is from RNAcentral. Lineage: Bacteria; Bacillati; Actinomycetota; Actinomycetes.
CGCCGUAAACGGUGGGCGCUAGUUGUGCGAACCUUCCACGGUUUGUCCGACGCAGCUAACGCAUUAAGCGCCCCGCCUGGGGAGUACGAUCGCAAGAUUAAAACUCAAAGGAAUUGACGGGGCCCCGCACAAGCAGCGGAGCAUGCGGCUUAAUUCGACGCAACGCGAAGAACCUUACCAAGGCUUGACAUAUACAGGAAUAUGGCAGAGAUGUCAUAGCCGCAAGGUCUGUAUACAGGUGGUGCAUGGUUGUCGUCAGCUCGUGUCGUGAGAUGUUGGGUUAAGUCCCGCAACGAGCGCAACCCUCGUUCUGUGUUGCCAGCAUUUAGUUGGGGACUCACAGGAGACUGCCGGGGUUAACUCGGAGGAAGGUGGGGAUGACGUCAAAUCAUCAUGCCCCUUAUGUCUUGGGCUGCACGCAUGCUACAAUGGCUGGUACAAACGGCUGCGAUACCGCAAGGUGGAGCGAAUCCGAUAAAGCCAGUCUCAGUUCGGAUUGGGGUCUGCAACUCGACCCCAUGAAGUCGGAGUUGCUAGUAAUCGUAGAUCAGCAACGCUACGGUGAAUACGUUCCCGGGGCUUGUACACACCGCCCGUCACAUCACGAAAGCCGGUAACACCCAAA